Long non-coding RNA from Myotis brandtii (Brandt's bat), 126 nucleotides. RefSeq lists it as uncharacterized. The record is from RefSeq and is a predicted model, not a curated record. NCBI's taxonomy places the organism in Eukaryota, Metazoa, Chordata, Mammalia, Chiroptera, Vespertilionidae. The transcript has 3 exons.
AAUGCCAAAUCUUUUUUGUCUAUUCGUCUGUUGGUGGACAUUUACGCUGCUUCCAUAUCUUGGCUACUGUAAAUAAUGCUGCAGUGAACAUCGGGGUGCACAUAUUGCUUUGGAUAGGCUGUUUUC